GACGAACGCUGGCGGCGUGCUUAACACAUGCAAGUCGAACGGAAAGGCCCUGCUUUUGUGGGGUGCUCGAGUGGCGAACGGGUGAGUAACACGUGAGUAACCUGCCCUUGACUUUGGGAUAACUUCAGGAAACUGGGGCUAAUACCGGAUAGGAGCUCCUGCUGCAUGGUGGGGGUUGGAAAGUUUCGGCGGUUGGGGAUGGACUCGCGGCUUAUCAGCCUGUUGGUGGGGUAGUGGCUUACCAAGGCUUUGACGGGUAGCCGGCCUGAGAGGGUGACCGGCCACAUUGGGACUGAGAUACGGCCCAGACUCCUACGGGAGGCAGCAGUGGGGAAUAUUGCACAAUGGGCGGAAGCCUGAUGCAGCAACGCCGCGUGCGGGAUGAAGGCCUUCGGGUUGUAAACCGCUUUCGCCUGUGACGAAGCGUGAGUGACGGUAAUGGGUAAAGAAGCACCGGCUAACUACGUG
Molecule: ribosomal RNA, 468 nt
Filed under: uncultured bacterium
Lineage: Bacteria
Description: partial 16S ribosomal RNA
Rfam family: Bacterial small subunit ribosomal RNA
Source: RNAcentral